RNAcentral lists this non-coding RNA (200 nucleotides) under Thalassospira sp. The record is from RNAcentral. Lineage: Bacteria; Pseudomonadati; Pseudomonadota; Alphaproteobacteria; Rhodospirillales; Thalassospiraceae.
UGGGACAUCAUUUUUGCCGGUAUCCUUUUUGGGAUAGAGGGAAUUCAAAACGGUUCGGUUUUUCGGGCCGUCAAACGAAGCUGCCCCCGCAACUGUAUGCGGCGAGCAUGUCCUGAUCAUGCCACUGGGGUUUUCCCGGGAAGGCCAGGAACAUGUGUUGACCCGCGAGCCAGGAGACCUGCCGGCAAUCGUGACGACAG